RNAcentral lists this ribosomal RNA (496 nucleotides) under uncultured bacterium. RNAcentral describes it as "partial 16S ribosomal RNA". It matches the Rfam family "Bacterial small subunit ribosomal RNA", at positions 29 to 507 of the family's 1533-position model. The record is from RNAcentral.
AUGAACGCUGGCGGCGUGCCUAAUACAUGCAAGUCGAGCGAACGGACGAGAAGCUUGCUUCUCUGAUGUUAGCGGCGGACGGGUGAGUAACACGUGGAUAACCUACCUAUAAGACUGGGAUAACUUCGGGAAACCGGAGCUAAUACCGGAUAAUAUUUUGAACCGCAUGGUUCAAAAGUGAAAGACGGUCUUGCUGUCACUUAUAGAUUGAUCCGCGCUGCAUUAGCUAGUUGGUAAGGUAACGGCUUACCAAGGCAACGAUGCAUAGCCGACCUGAGAGGGUGAUCGGCCACACUGGAACUGAGACACGGUCCAGACUCCUACGGGAGGCAGCAGUAGGGAAUCUUCCGCAAUGGGCGAAAGCCUGACGGAGCAACGCCGCGUGAGUGAUGAAGGUCUUCGGAUCGUAAAACUCUGUUAUUAGGGAAGAACAUAUGUGUAAGUAACUGUGCACAUCUUGACGGUGCCUAAUCAGAAAGCCACGGCUAACUACGUG